Molecule: ribosomal RNA, 254 nt
Filed under: uncultured bacterium
Lineage: Bacteria
Description: partial 16S ribosomal RNA
Rfam family: Bacterial small subunit ribosomal RNA
Source: RNAcentral
UACAGAGGGUGCGAGCGUUGUCCGGAAUCACUGGGCGUAAAGGGCGCGUAGGCGGUGGCUUAAGCGUGCGGUGAAAGCUCGGGGCUCAACUCCGAGUCGGCCGUGCGAACUGGGCUCACUGGAGCAUAGUAGAGGCAGGUGGAAUUCCGGGUGUAGCGGUGGAAUGCGUAGAGAUCCGGAAGAACACCGGUGGCGAAGGCGGCCUGCUGGGCUAUGGCUGACACUGAGGCGCGAAAGCGUGGGGAGCAAACAGG